UGGGGGAUAUUGCGCAAUGGGGGGAACCCUGACGCAGCGACGCCGCGUGAGCGAAGAAGGCCUUAGGGUUGUAAAGCUCUGUUUUCGGGGACGAAGAGGCGGGGAGUUAAGAGCUUUUCGUCAUGACGGUACCCGAAGAGGAAGCCCCGGCUAACUACGUGCCAGCAGCCGCGGUAAGACGUAGGGGGCGAGCGUUGUCCGGAAUCACUGGGCGUAAAGAGCACGUAGGCGGAUAUACAAGUCAGGUGUGAAAGACCGGGGCUCAACCGCGGGGUUGCACUUGAGACUGUAUAUCUUGAGGACAGGAGAGGGCAGUAGAAUUCCUGGUGUAGCGGUGAAAUGCGUAGAAAUCAGGAGGAAUACCGGUGGCGAAGGCGGCUGUCUGGACUGGACCUGACGCUGAGGUGCGAAAGCGUGGGGAGCAAACA
RNAcentral lists this ribosomal RNA (428 nucleotides) under uncultured Syntrophomonadaceae bacterium. Its description in RNAcentral is "bacterial SSU rRNA". It matches the Rfam family "Bacterial small subunit ribosomal RNA", at positions 355 to 774 of the family's 1533-position model. Lineage: Bacteria; Bacillati; Bacillota; Clostridia; Eubacteriales; Syntrophomonadaceae. The record is from RNAcentral.